AUGGAUCCUAUAGGGGAUCCUAUGGAUCCUAUAGGGGAUCCGGCACGGCCCCGGCACGCCAUCCCGGGAUCCUAUGGAUCCUAUAGGGGAUCCGGCACGGCCCCGGCACACGCCGGCCCCGACACACCGACCCGGGAUCCUAUGGAUCCUAUAGGGGAUCCGCCACGGCCCCGGCACACCAUCCCCAGAUCCUAUGGAUCCUAUAGGGGAUCCUGUAAGGCAUCCCAAAUCCCCCUAUGGAAAAUCCCAAAUUCCCUAUGGAAAAUCCCCUAUGGAAAAUCGCAAAUCCCCCUAUGGAAAAUGCCAAAUUCCCCUAUGGAAAAUCCCAAAUCCCCCUAUGGAAAAUGCCAAAUUCCCUAUGGAAAAUACCAAAUUCCCUAUGGAAAAUCCCCUAUGGAAAAUCCCAAAUCCCCCUAUGGAAAUCCCAAAUCCCCCUAUGGAAAUCCCAAAUCCCCCCAUGGAAAAUCCCAAAUUCCCUAUGGAAAAUCCCCUAUGGAAAAUCCGCCAUGGACGAGCCGGGUCCCUCCGGACGAAGCCCCGGAGCAGAGCCCAGGUCGAGGCCGCUGAGGGACAAAAUCCGGAGCAAAAACGGAAUUUUGGGGCUUUUUUGGAGUUUUUUGGGAAUUCUGGAGCCUCUUUUGGGGAGUAUUUGUGAUUUUUUUGGGACUUUUUUUUUAGUGAUUUAAUUUUUUUUAAAAUUUUUUUGAUGUUGUUUUUUGGAGCUUUUAAAGGAUUUUUUAUUCUUUUUGGAGCCUUUUUUAAUAUUUUUUUUCCUUUUUCAAGGUUUUUUUCAUCUUUUGGGGACGAUUUCCCAUCUUUAAAUACAAAUUCCUCACUCCUGUGCAUUUCUUUCCUUCCAAUAAAUAUGAAUCAAGAUUUGGCA
Molecule: long non-coding RNA, 883 nt
Filed under: Lonchura striata (white-rumped munia)
Lineage: Eukaryota; Metazoa; Chordata; Aves; Passeriformes; Estrildidae
Description: domestica (Bengalese finch) lncRNA (ENSLSDG00000002927.1)
Source: RNAcentral